CGGUGCAAGCGUAGUUGCCUACCCCUUCUUCCUUCACACGGGAGAGGUCCAAGGUUCGAUCCCUUGUGCGCCCACCA
Molecule: transfer RNA, 77 nt
Filed under: Alphaproteobacteria bacterium
Lineage: Bacteria; Pseudomonadati; Pseudomonadota; Alphaproteobacteria
Description: tRNA-Val
Source: RNAcentral